Molecule: long non-coding RNA, 119 nt
Organism: Herpailurus yagouaroundi (jaguarundi)
Lineage: Eukaryota; Metazoa; Chordata; Mammalia; Carnivora; Felidae
Exons: 3
Source: RefSeq, a predicted model, not a curated record
GCCAGAGUCCGAGAACACUUCAAUUACAUAAACUACUAAAACUUCGCUGUGUUUAAGGUAAUCCAAGUUGGGGUAGCAACUGAAAGCUUAGUGAGGAAGAGCACACAUCUGAAAUCCAG